RNAcentral lists this ribosomal RNA (2925 nucleotides) under Shigella flexneri. RNAcentral describes it as "23S ribosomal RNA". It matches the Rfam family "Bacterial large subunit ribosomal RNA". Lineage: Bacteria; Pseudomonadati; Pseudomonadota; Gammaproteobacteria; Enterobacterales; Enterobacteriaceae. The record is from RNAcentral.
GGGUUGUGAGGUUAAGCGACUAAGCGUACACGGUGGAUGCCCUGGCAGUCAGAGGCGAUGAAGGACGUGCUAAUCUGCGAUAAGCGUCGGUAAGGUGAUAUGAACCGUUAUAACCGGCGAUUUCCGAAUGGGGAAACCCAGUGUGAUUCGUCACACUAUCAUUAACUGAAUCCAUAGGUUAAUGAGGCGAACCGGGGGAACUGAAACAUCUAAGUACCCCGAGGAAAAGAAAUCAACCGAGAUUCCCCCAGUAGCGGCGAGCGAACGGGGAGCAGCCCAGAGCCUGAAUCAGUGUGUGUGUUAGUGGAAGCGUCUGGAAAGGCGUGCGAUACAGGGUGACAGCCCCGUACACAAAAAUGCACAUACUGUGAGCUCGAUGAGUAGGGCGGGACACGCGGUAUCCUGUCUGAAUAUGGGGGGACCAUCCUCCAAGGCUAAAUACUCCUGACUGACCGAUAGUGAACCAGUACCGUGAGGGAAAGGCGAAAAGAACCCCGGCGAGGGAGUGAAAAAGAACCUGAAACCGUGUACGUACAAGCAGUGGGAGCACGCUUAGGCGUGUGACUGCGUACCUUUUGUAUAAUGGGUCAGCGACUUAUAUUCUGUAGCAAGGUUAACCGAAUAGGGGAGCCGAAGGGAAACCGAGUCUUAACUGGGCGUUAAGUUGCAGGGUAUAGACCCGAAACCCGGUGAUCUAGCCAUGGGCAGGUUGAAGGUUGGGUAACACUAACUGGAGGACCGAACCGACUAAUGUUGAAAAAUUAGCGGAUGACUUGUGGCUGGGGGUGAAAGGCCAAUCAAACCGGGAGAUAGCUGGUUCUCCCCGAAAGCUAUUUAGGUAGCGCCUCGUGAAUUCAUCUCCGGGGGUAGAGCACUGUUUCGGCAAGGGGGUCAUCCCGACUUACCAACCCGAUGCAAACUGCGAAUACCGGAGAAUGUUAUCACGGGAGACACACGGCGGGUGCUAACGUCCGUCGUGAAGAGGGAAACAACCCAGACCGCCAGCUAAGGUCCCAAAGUCAUGGUUAAGUGGGAAACGAUGUGGGAAGGCCCAGACAGCCAGGAUGUUGGCUUAGAAGCAGCCAUCAUUUAAAGAAAGCGUAAUAGCUCACUGGUCGAGUCGGCCUGCGCGGAAGAUGUAACGGGGCUAAACCAUGCACCGAAGCUGCGGCAGCGACGCUUAUGCGUUGUUGGGUAGGGGAGCGUUCUGUAAGCCUGUGAAGGUGUGCUGUGAGGUAUGCUGGAGGUAUCAGAAGUGCGAAUGCUGACAUAAGUAACGAUAAAGCGGGUGAAAAGCCCGCUCGCCGGAAGACCAAGGGUUCCUGUCCAACGUUAAUCGGGGCAGGGUGAGUCGACCCCUAAGGCGAGGCCGAAAGGCGUAGUCGAUGGGAAACAGGUUAAUAUUCCUGUACUUGGUGUUACUGCGAAGGGGGGGACGGAGAAGGCUAUGUUGGCCGGGCGACGGUUGUCCCGGUUUAAGCGUGUAGGCUGGUUUUCCAGGCAAAUCCGGAAAAUCAAGGCCGAGGCGUGAUGACGAGGCACUACGGUGCUGAAGCAACAAAUGCCCUGCUUCCAGGAAAAGCCUCUAAGCAUCAGGUAACAUCAAAUCGUACCCCAAACCGACACAGGUGGUCAGGUAGAGAAUACCAAGGCGCUUGAGAGAACUCGGGUGAAGGAACUAGGCAAAAUGGUGCCGUAACUUCGGGAGAAGGCACGCUGAUACGUAGGUGAAGCGACUUGCUCGUGGAGCUGAAAUCAGUCGAAGAUACCAGCUGGCUGCAACUGUUUAUUAAAAACACAGCACUGUGCAAACACGAAAGUGGACGUAUACGGUGUGACGCCUGCCCGGUGCCGGAAGGUUAAUUGAUGGGGUUAGCGCAAGCGAAGCUCUUGAUCGAAGCCCCGGUAAACGGCGGCCGUAACUAUAACGGUCCUAAGGUAGCGAAAUUCCUUGUCGGGUAAGUUCCGACCUGCACGAAUGGCGUAAUGAUGGCGAGGCUGUCUCCACCCGAGACUCAGUGAAAUUGAACUCGCUGUGAAGAUGCAGUGUACCCGCGGCAAGACGGAAAGACCCCGUGAACCUUUACUAUAGCUUGACACUGAACAUUGAGCCUUGAUGUGUAGGAUAGGUGGGAGGCUUUGAAGUGUGGACGCCAGUCUGCAUGGAGCCGACCUUGAAAUACCACCCUUUAAUGUUUGAUGUUCUAACGUGGACCCGUAAUCCGGGUUGCGGACAGUGUCUGGUGGGUAGUUUGACUGGGGCGGUCUCCUCCUAAAGAGUAACGGAGGAGCACGAAGGUUGGCUAAUCCUGGUCGGACAUCAGGAGGUUAGUGCAAUGGCAUAAGCCAGCUUGACUGCGAGCGUGACGGCGCGAGCAGGUGCGAAAGCAGGUCAUAGUGAUCCGGUGGUUCUGAAUGGAAGGGCCAUCGCUCAACGGAUAAAAGGUACUCCGGGGAUAACAGGCUGAUACCGCCCAAGAGUUCAUAUCGACGGCGGUGUUUGGCACCUCGAUGUCGGCUCAUCACAUCCUGGGGCUGAAGUAGGUCCCAAGGGUAUGGCUGUUCGCCAUUUAAAGUGGUACGCGAGCUGGGUUUAGAACGUCGUGAGACAGUUCGGUCCCUAUCUGCCGUGGGCGCUGGAGAACUGAGGGGGGCUGCUCCUAGUACGAGAGGACCGGAGUGGACGCAUCACUGGUGUUCGGGUUGUCAUGCCAAUGGCACUGCCCGGUAGCUAAAUGCGGAAGAGAUAAGUGCUGAAAGCAUCUAAGCACGAAACUUGCCCCGAGAUGAGUUCUCCCUGACCCUUUAAGGGUCCUGAAGGAACGUUGAAGACGACGACGUUGAUAGGCCGGGUGUGUAAGCGCAGCGAUGCGUUGAGCUAACCGGUACUAAUGAACCGUGAGGCUUAACCUUACAACGCCGAAG